AUUGAACGCUGGCGGCAUGCCUAACACAUGCAAGUCGAACGGCAGCACAGCAGUAGCAAUACUGUGGGUGGCGAGUGGCGGACGGGUGAGGAAUACGUCGGAAUCUGCCCAGUCGUGGGGGAUAACUAGCCGAAAGGUUAGCUAAUACCGCAUACGACCGAGAGGUGAAAGCGGGGGGACCGCAAGGCCUCGCGCGAUUGGAUGAGCCGACGUCGGAUUAGCUAGUUGGCGGGGUAAAGGCCCACCAAGGCGACGAUCCGUAGCUGGUCUGAGAGGAUGGAUCAGCCACACUGGAACUGAGACACGGUCCAGACUCCUACGGGAGGCAGCAGUGGGGAAUAUUGGACAAUGGGCGCAAGCCUGAUCCAGCAAUGCCGCGUGUGUGAAGAAGGCCUCGGUUGUAAG
Molecule: ribosomal RNA, 405 nt
Filed under: uncultured bacterium
Lineage: Bacteria
Description: bacterial SSU rRNA
Rfam family: Bacterial small subunit ribosomal RNA
Source: RNAcentral